GAUGAAGAACGUAGCGAAAUGCGAUACUUGGUGUGAAUUGCAGAAUCCCGUGAACCAUCGAGUCUUUGAACGCAAGUUGCGCCCGAAGCCAUCAGGUUGAGGGCACGUCUGCCUGGGCGUCACAUAUCGUUGCCCAAUGCCUAUUGCAGUGCAAUAGGAAUUUCUAGGGCGAAUGAUGGCUUCCCGUGAGCGUUGUUGCCUCGCGGUUGGUUGAAAAUCGAGUCCUUGGUAGGGUGUGCCAUGGUAGAUGGUGGUCGAGUUAGAACGAUACCGAUCAUGUGCAUGCUCCCCAAAAUAUGGCCUCUAUGACCCACACACGUCUUUUGACGCUCCUGACGAGACCUCAGGUCAGGCGGGGCUACCCGCUGAAUUUAAGCAUAUCAAUAAGCGGAGGA
RNAcentral lists this unclassified non-coding RNA (395 nucleotides) under soil metagenome. RNAcentral describes it as "partial contains 5.8S ribosomal RNA, internal transcribed spacer 2, and large subunit ribosomal RNA". The stretch from base 1 to 122 matches the Rfam family "5.8S ribosomal RNA", at positions 35 to 154 of the family's 154-position model. The record is from RNAcentral.